GAUGGACGCUGGCGGCGUGCCUAACACAUGCAAGUCGAACGGAGAUUACGGACGGAAGUUUUCGGAUGGAAGCCUGUAAUUCUUAGUGGCGGACGGGUGAGUAACGCGUGGGCAACCUGCCCUAUACAGGGGGAUAGCAGCUGGAAACGGCUGGUAAGACCGCAUAAGUCGGUUAAAUCGCAUGAUUUGAUCGGGAAAUGAGCAAUCAGGUAUAGGAUGGGCCCGCGUCCGAUUAGCCAGUUGGCAGGGUAAAAGCCUACCAAAGCGACGAUCGGUAGCCGGACUGAGAGGUCGGACGGCCACAUUGGGACUGAGACACGGCCCAAACUCCUACGGGAGGCAGCAGUGGGGGAUAUUGCACAAUGGAGGAAACUCUGAUGCAGCGACGCCGCGUGAGUGAAGAAGUAUUUCGGUAUGUAAAGCUCUAUCAGCAGGGAAGAUGAUGACGGUACCUGACGAAGAAGCCCCGGCUAACUACGUG
RNAcentral lists this ribosomal RNA (481 nucleotides) under uncultured bacterium. RNAcentral's name for it is "partial 16S ribosomal RNA". It matches the Rfam family "Bacterial small subunit ribosomal RNA", at positions 28 to 507 of the family's 1533-position model. The record is from RNAcentral.